This 2483-nucleotide ribosomal RNA is filed under the name metagenome. RNAcentral describes it as "bacterial LSU rRNA". It matches the Rfam family "Bacterial large subunit ribosomal RNA", at positions 14 to 2518 of the family's 2925-position model. The record is from RNAcentral.
AGGGCGUAUGGGGAAUGCCUAGGCACACUCCGGCGAAGAAGGACGCAGCAAACAGCGAAAUGCGACGGUGAGCGGUAAGCACGUGAAGAGCCGUCGAUAUCCGAAUGGGGGAACCCACACGGAGUCAUAUCCGUGUAUCACGUGUCGAAUACAUAGACAUGAUGAGGCGAGACGCAGGGAACUGAAACAUCUAAGUACCUGCAGGAAGAGAAAAUAAGAAUGAUUUUCUGAGUAGCGGCGAGCGAAAGGGAAAGAGCCCAAACCGAUCUGAGGAUCGGGGUAGUAGGAUCAUCGAUAAAUCAAACAGAGGAUCAUAGAGGAAUCACAUGGGAAGGUGAGCGAGAGAGGGUGAGAGCCCCGUACUCGAAAUGAGAGACUGGAGAGAGAUGACACCUGAGUAGGGCGGGACACGAGAAAUCCUGUCUGAAUCAGCCGGGACCAUCCGGCAAGGCUAAAUACGAGAGAGUGACCGAUAGUGAACCAGUACCGUGAGGGAAAGGUGAAAAGAACCCCGGGAGGGGAGUGAAAGAGAACCUGAAACCAUAUGCCUACAAGAAGUCAGAGCCCGUUAAAGGGUGAUGGCGUGCCUUUUGUAGAAUGAACCGGCGAGUUACUGUAUGGAGCGAGGUUAAGCAGGAUAUGCGGAGCCGAAGCGAAAGCGAGUCUUAAGAGGGCGCGAGUUGCAUGCAGUAGACCCGAAACCGGGUGAUCUAGCCAUGACCAGGUUGAAGUUGGGGUAAAACCCGAUGGAGGACCGAACCGACCCCCGUUGAAACGUUGGCGGAUGAGUUGUGGCUAGGGGUGAAAUUCCAAUCGAACCCGGAGAUAGCUGGUUCUCCCCGAAAUAGCUUUAGGGCUAGCGUCGAGAGAAGAGUUGCGUGAAGGUAGAGCACUGAAUAUGUGAUGGCCCCAUCUCGGGGUACUGAGCAUAAUCAAACUGCGAAUGUCACGCCAACAUGCUCGGCAGUCAGACAGCGGGUGAUAAGGUCCGUUGUCAAGAGGGAAACAGCCCAGACCAUCAGCUAAGGUCCCAAAAUGUAUGCUAAGUGGAAAAGGAUGUGGAGAUGUACAGACAACUAGGAGGUUGGCUCAGAAGCAGCCAUCCUUUAAAGAGUGCGUAACAGCUCACUAGUCGAAUGACUCUGCGCCGAUAAUUUACCGGGGCUAAGCAUACUACCGAAGCUAUGGAUCCCAAGGGAUGGUAGGGGAGCGUUCCAUGAACGGAGAAGUACGACCGAAAGGACGUGUGGAGAUCAUGGAAGAGAGAAUGCCGGUGUGAGUAGCGGAACGUGGGUGAGAAUCCCACGCACCGAAAACCCAAGGUUUCCAGAGGAAGGUUCGUCCGCUCUGGGUAAGUCGGGACCUAAGGCGAGGCCGAAAGGCGUAGUCGAUGGACAACAGGUAGAGAUUCCUGUACCCGUAUAUAUGUGAAGGAAUGACGGAGAGAGGAAGCUGCAGCCAGCGGCUGGAAGAGCUGGUGCAAGCGAGAUAUCGGGAUGGCAGGCAAAUCCACCAUCCGAAACGAGAAGGCGUGAAGCGUACGGAAAGCUACGGCGAGUACGGAAGGCAGUGGAGGAACUUCCAAGAAAAGUUUCUAACGUUAAGUAUAUAUGGCCCGUACCGAAAAUGGACACACAUGGGUGAGGAGAGAAUCCUAAGGUGAGCGAGAGAACUAUAGCUAAGGAACUCUGCAAAAUGACUCCGUAACUUAGGGAGAAGGAGUGCUCAUAGAGAUAUGAGCCGCAGUGAAACGGCCCAAGCGACUGUUUACCAAAAACACAGCUCUCUGCUAAGCCGCAAGGCGAAGUAUAGGGGGUGACGCCUGCCCGGUGCUGGAAGGUUAAGGGGAGGGGUUAACGCAAGUGAAGCCCUGAACUGAAGCCCCAGUAAACGGCGGCCGUAACUAUAACGGUCCUAAGGUAGCGAAAUUCCUUGUCAGGUAAGUUCUGACCCGCACGAAAGGCGUAAUGAUUUGGGCGCUGUCUCGACAAUGUACUCGGCGAAAUUGUAGUACUAGUGAAGAUGCUAGUUACCUGCGACAAGACAGAAAGACCCCAUGGAGCUUUACUGUAGCUUGAUACUGGGUUUCGAUAAUUUAUGUACAGGAUAGGUGGGAGGCGAAGAAGCAAUUGCGCCAGCAGUUGUGGAGUCAUCCUUGGGAUACCACCCUUAAGUUAUUGAAAUUCUAACCUGUAGUCCUGAGCGGGCUAGGGGACAAUGUCAGGCGGGCAGUUUGACUGGGGCGGUCGCCUCCAAAAGAGUAACGGAGGCGCGCAAAGGUUUCCUCAGCGCGGACAGAAAUCGCGCGAAAGAGUGCAAAGGCAGAAGGAAGCUUAACUGAGAGACUGACAAGUCGACCAGAUACGAAAGUAGGUCUUAGUGAUCCGGCGGUAGUGAGUGGAAAUGCCGUCGCUCAACGGACAAAAGUUACCCUGGGGAUAACAGGCUUAUCUCCCCCAAGAGUUCACAUCGACGGGGAGGUU